RNAcentral lists this ribosomal RNA (253 nucleotides) under uncultured bacterium. RNAcentral describes it as "partial 16S ribosomal RNA". It matches the Rfam family "Bacterial small subunit ribosomal RNA", at positions 524 to 776 of the family's 1533-position model. The record is from RNAcentral.
UACGUAGGCAGCAAGCGUUGUUCGGAAUUACUGGGCGUAAAGAGUGUGUAGGCGGUGUUCCAAGUCUGGUGUGAAAUCUCCCAGCUUAACUGGGAGGGUGCAUUAGAAACUGGAAUGCUAGAGGAUGGGAGAGGUAAGCGGAAUUCCUGGUGUAGCGGUGAAAUGCGUAGAUAUCAGGAGGAACACCUGUGGUGUAGACAGCUUACUGGACCAUUUCUGACGCUGAGACACGAAAGCGUGGGUAGCAAACAGG